RNAcentral lists this ribosomal RNA (253 nucleotides) under uncultured bacterium. RNAcentral's name for it is "partial 16S ribosomal RNA". It matches the Rfam family "Bacterial small subunit ribosomal RNA", at positions 524 to 776 of the family's 1533-position model. The record is from RNAcentral.
UACGGAGGGGGCUAGCGUUGUUCGGAAUUACUGGGCGUAAAGCGCGCGUAGGCGGAUCGCUAAGUCAGGGGUGAAAUCCCAGGGCUCAACCCUGGAACUGCCUUUGAUACUGACGGUCUGGAGAUCGGGAGAGGUUGGUGGAAUUCCGAGUGUAGAGGUGAAAUUCGUAGAUAUUCGGAGGAACACCAGAAGCGAAGGCGACCAACUGGCCCGAUACUGACGCUGAGGCGCGAAAGCGUGGGGAGCAAACAGG